CACCACUCAAGCUAUGCUUGGUAUUGGGUGCCGUCCCCUCACGGGGGCGCGCCUCAAAGACCUCGGCGAGGCCUCACCGGCUUUAGGCGUAGUAGAAUUUAUUCGAACGUCUGUCAAAGGAGAGGACUUCUGCCGACUGAAACCUUUUAAAUUGUUUUCUA
RNAcentral lists this unclassified non-coding RNA (161 nucleotides) under uncultured Aureobasidium. RNAcentral's name for it is "sequence contains ITS2". The record is from RNAcentral. Lineage: Eukaryota; Fungi; Ascomycota; Dothideomycetes; Dothideales; Dothioraceae.